This 65-nucleotide small RNA is filed under the name Arabidopsis thaliana (thale cress). RNAcentral's name for it is "ATSL249300". The record is from RNAcentral. Lineage: Eukaryota; Viridiplantae; Streptophyta; Magnoliopsida; Brassicales; Brassicaceae.
AAAUCCUUAGUAUUACUAAUGUUUAAAAAAAAUCAAAAAAAAUCAUACUCUGUGUUUGUCACUAU